RNAcentral lists this long non-coding RNA (310 nucleotides) under Zea mays. RNAcentral describes it as "long non-coding RNA (ZMAY_LNC005735)". The record is from RNAcentral. Lineage: Eukaryota; Viridiplantae; Streptophyta; Magnoliopsida; Poales; Poaceae.
AGUAGAAGAAGGCACUAGGUGGGAGUCAAGCAGCUUCAGGAUGCCAUCACAGAUAUUGCUCAGUUCAGCCUCGAUCUUCGCACGGUAUUCCUUGAUAAGGUUCACAUGCUCUUCGUUCUUACGGGACUCCUCCUUCUGUUCAAUAGAAGAGACAAUGCGCCAUGAAGCACGGCGAGCCCCAAUCACAUUCUUGUAUGCGACCGACAAGAGGUUACGCUCCUCAACAGUGAGCUCUUCCACAUCUACAGUCUUAGCCACCUUCUCCAUAUACUCAACCAUCUCUUCAUACCUUUCGGCCUGCUCAGCCAGC